UUUUUUUUUUUUUCCAAAAGCAUUUUUAACUGGCUAGAGAGUUCUAGGUGAGCUGUCAUGUCCCUGAAUUUUGAAUAAAUCCUUCAAUUGUCUCCCAGCAGCCAUCGUUUCUGUGCCGAGGUCAGGCGUCUGUCACUGUCACAGUCUUCUGGUUUCCUUUCUGACAGCUGGACUGUGACCCGUGGUCUUCUUCAUGUCCGUAGAUUUUCUCAGAUAAACAGCUUGAUGGCCUCCACUGGCUUGGGAAUUUCCUGACCAGGGUUUCUUCAAAUCUUUCUCCCCUGCGUGUCUCCCCUUGCCUUCUGGGGCUCCCAUCCACAUGGGUUAGAGCUUUUUAUGGUGCCUCAGGUGUUUUAGGCUAUUUUUUGAUAUUUUCUGCCAAUUUACUAUUCUGAGCUCUAACCCAUCACCAAAUCCACCUUUCAAGUACUUAGCUUUGAUUAGCGUAGAUUUUUGUUCCAGUAUUUCCAUUGACUAAAAAAUGAAUUCAGUACUCCUGUGAAAUCUUUCAUCUUGUCAUAUUGCUGUGUAUAUUAACAGUUAAUUUGACCACUAAAAAUCAGCAGAGAAAGAUUAAAAACAGUUUAUUUAAAAUCCAUAGCUAGAGCUCCCAUUCGCUCAGUGGGUUCAGAACCCGACACAGUGUCCAUGAGGAUGUGGGUUCUGUCCCUGGCCUCGCUCAGUGGGUUAAGGAUGCAACAUUGCCUCAAGCUGUGGCAUGGGUCACAGAUGCAGCUCAGAUCCCACAUGGCUGUGGCUGUGGUGUAGUGUGAGAGCUGCAGCCCCAAUUCGACCCCUAGCCUGGAAACUUCUAUAUGCCACAGGUGCAGCCCUAAAAAGAAAAAUAAAAUAAAAUCUCUAUCUGGUAACUUCAAUUUGUUUAUUUGUCUUUCUGUCUCAUGGUAUUUGGCCACUUGGUCCUUUGGUAUGGUUGGAAAUUUUGAGUGUAUUUUUUGUUUGUUUUUUUGUGCUAUUUUAGGCCUGCACCCAAGACAUACGGAGCUUCCCAGGCUAGGGGUCGAACUGGUGCUACAGCUGCCGGCCUGCAUCACAGCCACGGCAGUGCAGGAUCUGAGCGGCAUCUGCGACCUACGCCACUGCUCACGGCAACACCAGAUCCUCCACCCUCCGAGCCAGGCCAGGGAUUGAUCCCACAUCCUCAUGGAUCCUAGCUGGGUUUGUUAAGCCCCGAGCCACGGAGGGAACGCCCCUUGAGAGUGUUUCGGAUGCCAUGCAAGGAAAUAGAGGUUUUGGAUGGUUUAUUUCCCUCCAAGGUCCAUUUAAUUCCCUUCUGGGGGAGUCAAGCUCUGAGUCAAGGAAUCUAAACACCCAAGAAGUUUAGAAAAAUCACAAACAAAAAGCCGCAAAUGAGGGAGCUUAUAACAUCUGAAGCAGAAGCGUUAGGACAGACAAAUUAUUUGAUGUAAGUAUGACAAAUACCCUUUUUUGUUGUUGUUGUUGUUGUUGUUGUUGCUAUUUCUUUGGCCGCACCCGCGGCAUAUGGAGGUUCCCAGGCUAGGGGUCGAAUCGGAGCUGUAGCCGCCGGCCUACGCCAGAGCCACAGCAACGCGGGAUCCGAGCCGUGUCUGCAACCUACACCACAGCUCACGGCAACGCUGGAUCGUUAACCCACUGAGCAAGGGCAGGGACCGAACCCGCAACCUCAUGGUUCCUAGUCGGAUUCGUUAACCACUGCACCACAACGAGAACUCCACAAAUAUCCUUUUAAAAUAAGGGGAGACACUAGCAAUUGGGGCAAAAAAUACCCUGAAAAAAAGAAGAAAGUAGAAAUAGUAGGUACACAAUAGUUGAAAGAACAAACUAUUUUGAAGGCACAAUAAAACUAUUACGAGGCUCAAAAGGUUGCCAACAAAACCCACAAUGAAAAGUUUUUGGAGGAAACCUCAAAAUGAAAACAAACCCAGAAAAACUGCAAGAGAUACAAGGAGGAAAAAAAAGAAAGAUUAAAACUAUAUCUUUAUAAGGUUUAUUGUUGUCUUAAGAAAAAACUAAGACCAAAGAAAAGAAACACCUACACAUAUGCCCACGACCCCAGAACAAAAACCCUCGGUAGUGCUGAGAGAUGUGGAGACCAGAGGCCCUGGUCUGGCCGCGCCUUUGCUCUCAAUGGGAAUAAAGGCAAAAAGAAAAAUGACAGGAAAGCUGGGGCAGAUGGGAAUCCCAGCAAUGCUGGAAAGUCAGCCAUCUCUGCGAAGCUGGGCGCCCCCCCCCCACCCCCAUGUGCGCUGGAUGCCCCUCCAAGGUCCCUUCCCCCACUGACCACUCCUCCUGGCCUCGGCCUCGGAGUCCAGGCGCCCAGGGCUUUGUACUGGGCUCCCGGGCUGUGUCUCAGGAGAGGCGCCAUCUCCUGGUCCCUGGGCACGAGACAGCCUUGGCUCCUCUCCAGGGGUGCCAGCCUGGGCGCCCCUCCCUCCAGCAGCCCACCCAGCGUGAGCCCCAUCGCUCGUCCCCGCUCUCACGGCCAGCACCUCCUCCUCUAGGGGCUCCAGACAAAACCCCAGCUCAUCCUGUCCCGUCCCUCCCCUGAGCCAUCAGUGCCCAGCUCUCCUUCCAACGCCCCCACCGGAUCCCCCUUCCAGGCCCCAUCCGCUGCCCUGGGCGCUGGCCACAGCCUCCCGUGCCCCCAUCGCACAGCCUCCAAGGGGCCAAGGGAUCCGUAGAACUGAGCUGCAGGCCCCCACUAACAGAUGAACACGUGCUGCCCU
RNAcentral lists this long non-coding RNA (2726 nucleotides) under Sus scrofa (pig). Its description in RNAcentral is "lncRNA (ENSSSCG00015059225.1)". The record is from RNAcentral. Lineage: Eukaryota; Metazoa; Chordata; Mammalia; Artiodactyla; Suidae.